AUGAGAGCCCUCACUGCCGCCACAAUCUCCUCCCCGAUACGCGCCCUCCUCCUCCUCCACCCCUCCUUCCCCUCAACCUUCCGCCUCCCUCCCACCAUGAACCCCUCCUCCUCCUCUGGCUACCGCUCCAAUGCUGCCGCCUUUGCCUCCACGCACCAGCCGCGUGGCGGCCGUGGCGGUGGCAGGCGGCCGGGUGGACGUGGCGGCGGCGGCGGUGGCGACGGCGGAAACCGCAUCGACGCCCUCGGCCGCCUCCUGACGAGGGUCUUGCGGCACAUGGCGCCGGAGCUGAGGCUGAACAUGAGGAGCGAUGGCUAUGUGCGGGUCCGCGACCUGCUCCGCCUCAACCUGGAGACCUUCGCCAAGGUUCCGCUCAACUCCCACACGGUGGAUGAAAUCAGGGAGGCGGUCAGGCGAGACAACAAGCAGAGAUUUGGUCUGUUGGAGGAGGAUGGCGAGCUGCUGAUUCGAGCUAACCAGGGGCACACUGUGACAACUGUUACAUCAGAGAGCUUGUUGAAACCAAUUCUAUCGGCUGAUGAAGUCUCAGUCUGUGUCCAUGGAACUUACAGGAAAAAUGUUGAUUCAAUACUGAAAUAUGGGCUUAAACGUAUGGCAAGGCUACAUGUACAUUUCUCAAGUGGUUUACCAUCGGAUGGGGGAGUUAUUAGUGGUAUGCGGAGUGGCGCAAACAUAUUGAUAUAUUUGAAUGUCAGAAAGGCACUGCAAGACGGGAUGAAGCUAUACAUCUCAGACAACAAGGUGAUACUGACGGAGGGCUUCGACGGCGUCGUCCCCGUCAAGUACUUCGAGAAGAUCGAAACUUGGCCAGGACGUGCACCGAUACCGUUCCAGAGGUAG
This 861-nucleotide ribosomal RNA is filed under the name Triticum aestivum (bread wheat). RNAcentral describes it as "partial small subunit ribosomal RNA". The record is from RNAcentral. Lineage: Eukaryota; Viridiplantae; Streptophyta; Magnoliopsida; Poales; Poaceae.